Molecule: small nuclear RNA, 76 nt
Filed under: Saimiri boliviensis boliviensis (Bolivian squirrel monkey)
Lineage: Eukaryota; Metazoa; Chordata; Mammalia; Primates; Cebidae
Source: RNAcentral
AUGCUCACUUCGGCAGCACAUAUACUAAAAUUGGAACGAUACAGAGAAGAUUAGCAUGGCCCCUGCACAAGGAAGA